RNAcentral lists this ribosomal RNA (468 nucleotides) under uncultured bacterium. Its description in RNAcentral is "partial 16S ribosomal RNA". It matches the Rfam family "Bacterial small subunit ribosomal RNA", at positions 28 to 507 of the family's 1533-position model. The record is from RNAcentral.
GACGAACGCUGGCGGCGUGCUUAACACAUGCAAGUCGAACGGAAAGGCCCUGCUUUUGUGGGGUGCUCGAGUGGCGAACGGGUGAGUAACACGUGAGUAACCUGCCCUUGACUUUGGGAUAACUUCAGGAAACUGGGGCUAAUACCGGAUAGGAGCUCCUGCUGCAUGGUGGGGGUUGGAAAGUUUCGGCGGUUGGGGAUGGACUCGCGGCUUAUCAGCUUGUUGGUGGGGUAGUGGCUUACCAAGGCUUUGACGGGUAGCCGGCCUGAGAGGGUGACCGGCGACAUUGGGACUGAGAUACGGCGCAGACUCCUACGGGAGGCAGCAGUGGGGAGUAUUGCACAAUGGGCGGAAGCCUGAUGCAGCAACGCCGCGUGCGGGAUGACGGCCUUCGGGUUGUAAACCGCUUUCGCCUGUGACGAAGCGUGAGUGACGGUAAUGGGUAAAGAAGCACCGGCUAACUACGUG